RNAcentral lists this ribosomal RNA (253 nucleotides) under uncultured bacterium. Its description in RNAcentral is "partial 16S ribosomal RNA". It matches the Rfam family "Bacterial small subunit ribosomal RNA", at positions 524 to 776 of the family's 1533-position model. The record is from RNAcentral.
UACAGAGGUGGCAAGCGUUGUUCGGAAUUACUGGGCGUAAAGGGCGCGUAGGCGGCCUUCUAAGUCAGACGUGAAAUCCCCCGGCUUAACCUGGGAACUGCGUCUGAUACUGGAGGGCUUGAGUAUGGGAGAGGGAUGCGGAAUUCCAGGUGUAGCGGUGAAAUGCGUAGAUAUCUGGAGGAACACCGGUGGCGAAGGCGGCAUCCUGGACCAACACUGACACUGAGGAGCGAAAGCCAGGGGAGCAAACGGG